AUGGAUAGGAGUUGGAUGCGAGCAGCAAGGUCUUCCGCCGAGUAUUCUGAAGGAACUAGCAACUUCAUACAAUUUGCUUUCCGUGAGUCAGCAAAAAAUAGUAGGAUUCUCUGCCCUUGCAAGAUAUGUGUAAACUCUCGUUGGUUAGGUGAGCAUGAAGUCUAUGAUCAUUUGAUUUGCGAUGGAUUCAUGUCCGGAUAUACCAUAUGGAUUCACCAUGGAGAAAGUAUGCGGCCCUCCGAAGCAAUUACUGCUCCUAGUUCACAGUUUGAAGAAUAUGCUGAUAGUGAUGAGAUGGAUGAGAUGCUACUAGAAGGAUUUGGAAUGUACGAUACUCAUACUUUAGGAGAGGAGCAAGAGUCUGAAGAUGAUUUGGACGAUGAUGCUGAGGCAUACUAUAGAUUAGUUAAUGAUGGACACCAAGAGUUGUACCCAGGUUGCAAAAGAUUCUCGAAGCUGCAAUUUUUGGUGAGGUUGCUUCAUAUCAAGAAUAUGAGGGGAAUGAGCAAUGUAUGCUUUGAUGAGGUAUUGACGCUAAUUAAGGAGGCACUUCCAGAAGGUCAGGCGUUGCCCAAAAAUUUUCAUGGGGCCAAAAAGUUUAUGAAAGCCAUUGGUAUUGGAUAUGAUAGUAUAGAUGCAUGCAAAAACGAUUGCAUUCUAUUUAGGAAGGAACAUGCUGAUGCCAUAUCAUGUCCAGUGUGUGGCACAAGUAGAUGGAAGAGCGUAAAUACUGGAGUUGAUGGAAGGCGUGUCCACAAGGUGCCUCAAAAGGUGGUUCGUCAUUUCCCGCUAAAGAAGAGACUCCAAAGGUUGUUCGCUUCUACAAAGACGACAUCAGAUAUGAGGUGGCACAGCGAAGGCCGCACAAAGGACGGCUUGAUACGACACCCAGCUGGUUCACCUGCAUGGAAACACUUUGAUGCUAUUCACAAAGACUUCAGUUCAGAAGUUUGCAAUGUUAGAUUUGGAUUGGGAGCUGAUGGUUUCAACCCUUUUGGAAAUAUGAAUCUCUCAUAUAGCAUAUGGCCUAUCGUCUUGAUCCCCUACAACCUUCCUCCAUGGAUUUGUAUGAAGCAAUCAAACUUUAUCCUCUCUAUCAUCAUUCCUGGUAAAAAAUCUCCAGGGAAAGACAUGGAUGUUUACAUGCAGCUGACCAUAGAUGAUCUUUUGGAGCUUUGGAAUGAUGGAGUCUGGACUUAUGAUGCCUCUCGAUCUAAGAAGUUUCUCUUACGUGCCGCACUACUAUGGACAAUAAGUGAUUGGCCUGGGCGUGGAUCUUUGUCUGGAGAAAAUAUAGCAGUUUGCUCCCAUUGUCUAUCAGAGACAUGCUCUCUUUGGUUAAAGAAUGGACACAAGAAAUGCUAUAUGGGACAUCGCAGAUUCUUGGAACCUAAUCACGAGUUUCGAUUUGAUGCUGAGUCAUUUGAUGGUUUUGAGGAACAUCGAGAGCCUCCCGUUCCCCUUUCAUCACAUGACAUUUCAGUAUUGACAAAGGACAUGAAAACUACGUAUGGGAAGCUGCAGCAGAAGAGCAGCAGGAAGCGACACCGUAAUCAGGUAGAUGAGAAUGAUGCAAGCAUGCAGCAAGACACUUCAAUAUUCAGAAAGAGAAGUUGCUUCUUUCAGCUGCCAUACUGGGAAACACUUCUAUUGCGUCAUAAUCUGGAUCCUAUGCACAUAGAGAAGAAUGUGUUUGAGAACAUGGUGAUGAAACUGAAUCGGAAGAUGAAGAAGGUGAGUCUGGACAAGAAGAUGAACAUGAAGAAGAAGAGGAAGUUCGACAAGAACAGGAGAAAACACAUGAAGUUGUAG
This 1812-nucleotide ribosomal RNA is filed under the name Triticum aestivum (bread wheat). Its description in RNAcentral is "partial small subunit ribosomal RNA". The record is from RNAcentral. Lineage: Eukaryota; Viridiplantae; Streptophyta; Magnoliopsida; Poales; Poaceae.